GCAGCAGUGGGGAAUAUUGCACAAUGGGCGAAAGCCUGAUGCAGCGACGCCGCGUGAGGGAUGACGGCCUUCGGGUUGUAAACCUCUUUCAGCAGGGAAGAAGCGAAAGUGACGGUACCUGCAGAAGAAGCGCCGGCUAACUACGUGCCAGCAGCCGCGGUAAUACGUAGGGNGCAAGCGUUGUCCGGAAUUAUUGGGCGUAAAGAGCUCGUAGGCGGUUUGUCACGUCGGAUGUGAAAACCCGGGGCUUAACCCCGGGUCUGCAUUCGAUACGGGCAAGCUAGAGUGUGGUAGGGGAGAUCGGAAUUCCUGGUGUAGCGGUGAAAUGCGCAGAUAUCAGGAGGAACACCGGUGGCGAAGGCGGAUCUCUGGGCCAUUCCUGACGCUGAGGAGCGAAAGCGUGGGGAGCGAACAGGAUUAGAUACCCUGGUAGUCCACGCCGUAAACGUUGGGCACUAGGUG
This 462-nucleotide ribosomal RNA is filed under the name uncultured bacterium. Its description in RNAcentral is "bacterial SSU rRNA". It matches the Rfam family "Bacterial small subunit ribosomal RNA", at positions 348 to 822 of the family's 1533-position model. The record is from RNAcentral.